UAUAGCUCAGUGGAACAGUGCCUGCCUGGCAAGCAUGAGGUCCUGGUUCGAUUCCUGGUA
RNAcentral lists this transfer RNA (60 nucleotides) under Cavia porcellus (domestic guinea pig). It matches the Rfam family "tRNA", at positions 6 to 65 of the family's 71-position model. From Rfam's summary of the family: Transfer RNA (tRNA) molecules are approximately 80 nucleotides in length. Their secondary structure includes four short double-helical elements and three loops (D, anti-codon, and T loops). The record is from Rfam by way of RNAcentral. Lineage: Eukaryota; Metazoa; Chordata; Mammalia; Rodentia; Caviidae.